This 253-nucleotide ribosomal RNA is filed under the name uncultured bacterium. RNAcentral describes it as "partial 16S ribosomal RNA". It matches the Rfam family "Bacterial small subunit ribosomal RNA", at positions 524 to 776 of the family's 1533-position model. The record is from RNAcentral.
UACGGGGGGGGCAAGCGUUGUUCGGAAUUACUGGGCGUAAAGGGCUCGUAGGCGGCCAACUAAGUCAGACGUGAAAUCCCUCGGCUUAACCGGGGAACUGCGUCUGAUACUGGAUGGCUUGAAUCCGGGAGAGGGAUGCGGAAUUCCAGGUGUAGCGGUGAAAUGCGUAGAUAUCUGGAGGAACACCGGUGGCGAAGGCGGCGUUCUGGACUGCAACUGACGCUGAAAAACGAAAGCCAGGGGAGCAAACGGG